This 465-nucleotide ribosomal RNA is filed under the name Vreelandella stevensii. Its description in RNAcentral is "partial 16S ribosomal RNA". It matches the Rfam family "Bacterial small subunit ribosomal RNA", at positions 338 to 795 of the family's 1533-position model. Lineage: Bacteria; Pseudomonadati; Pseudomonadota; Gammaproteobacteria; Oceanospirillales; Halomonadaceae. The record is from RNAcentral.
CCUACGGGAGGCUGCAGUGGGGAAUAUUGGACAAUGGGGGGAACCCUGAUCCAGCCAUGCCGCGUGUGUGAAGAAGGCCCUCGGGUUGUAAAGCACUUUCAGUGAGGAAGAACGCCUGGUGGUUAAUACCCAUCAGGAAAGACAUCACUCACAGAAGAAGCACCGGCUAACUCCGUGCCAGCAGCCGCGGUAAUACGGAGGGUGCGAGCGUUAAUCGGAAUUACUGGGCGUAAAGCGCGCGUAGGUGGCUUGAUAAGCCGGUUGUGAAAGCCCUGGGCUCAACCUGGGAACGGCAUCCGGAACUGUCAAGCUAGAGUGCAGGAGAGGAAGGUAGAAUUCCCGGUGUAGCGGUGAAAUGCGUAGAGAUCGGGAGGAAUACCAGUGGCGAAGGCGGCCUUCUGGACUGACACUGACACUGAGGUGCGAAAGCGUGGGUAGCAAACAGGAUUAGAUACCCUAGUAGUC